AUUGAACGCUGGCGGCAGGCUUAACACAUGCAAGUCGAGCGGAGAUGAGGUGCUUGCACCUUAUCUUAGCGGCGGACGGGUGAGUAAUGCUUAGGAAUCUGCCUAUUAGUGGGGGACAACAUUCCGAAAGGAAUGCUAAUACCGCAUACGUCCUACGGGAGAAAGCAGGGGAUCUUCGGACCUUGCUCUAAUAGAUGAGCCUCAGUCGGAUUAGCUAGUUGGUGGGGUAAAGGCCUACCAAGGCGACGAUCUGUAGCGGGUCUGAGAGGAUGAUCCGCCACACUGGGACUGAGACACGGCCCAGACUCCUACGGGAGGCAGCAGUGGGGAAUAUUGGUCAAUGGGGGAAACCCUGAUCCAGCCAUGCCGCGUGUGUGAAGAAGGCCUUAUGGUUGUAAAGCACUUUAAGCGAGGAGGAGGCUACUGAGACUAAUACUCUUGAAUAGUGUACGUUACUCGCAGAAUAAGCACCGGCUAACUCUGUGCCAGCCGCCGCGGUAA
Molecule: ribosomal RNA, 501 nt
Filed under: uncultured bacterium
Lineage: Bacteria
Description: partial 16S ribosomal RNA
Rfam family: Bacterial small subunit ribosomal RNA
Source: RNAcentral